This is a long non-coding RNA of Salvia hispanica, 464 nucleotides long. RefSeq lists it as uncharacterized. The record is from RefSeq and is a predicted model, not a curated record. Lineage: Eukaryota; Viridiplantae; Streptophyta; Magnoliopsida; Lamiales; Lamiaceae.
CUUCCUAACUCUCUCUCUCUCUCUCUUUUUCUUUUCUAAAUUUUCGCCACACAAGGUGCAGCCUCGAGUUUCUUCACGAUCGGGAAUUCAAACAACAUCCGAUUGUCACGAAAUUUUAACCAAAGGUAGAAGACUCAUAAAGGAUCAUUCUUACCGAAGGAGGUCAAAUUUUAACGGUUAGAUUUUCAAGAAAUAACUUCGGAAGUGGCUGUCGGUUUCUACAGUAGCAGCGUCGAUUUUCUAUACGAUCAGGGGUUCAAACGUAGUCCGAUCGUUCUAAAAUUUUAAAGGAAGGAAGUUGGGGUUUCCUGAAGAUAGAAUACUAGCUUUGCGAAGAAGCUUUAGCUCAUUUUUGUAACAUCAUAAAUUAAUACAUUUCUCAUUUGAAGAGAAAUGACUAUAUUCUGUAAAUUUAAUAUCCCUCUGCUUUAUAAAUGUACAUGGACAAUUAUUUUAUCGUUUCA